RNAcentral lists this transfer RNA (84 nucleotides) under Mollicutes bacterium. RNAcentral's name for it is "tRNA-Leu". It matches the Rfam family "tRNA". Rfam says of the family: Transfer RNA (tRNA) molecules are approximately 80 nucleotides in length. Their secondary structure includes four short double-helical elements and three loops (D, anti-codon, and T loops). Lineage: Bacteria; Bacillati; Mycoplasmatota; Mollicutes. RNAcentral also lists the same sequence under 2 other names. The record is from RNAcentral.
GCACUGGUGGCGAAAUGGUAUACGCUCUGGUCUCAGAAGCCAGUCUGGAAACAGGUGUGGGUUCAAGUCCCAUCCAGUGCACCA